RNAcentral lists this long non-coding RNA (1068 nucleotides) under Equus caballus (horse). Its description in RNAcentral is "lncRNA (ENSECAG00000051157.1)". The record is from RNAcentral. Lineage: Eukaryota; Metazoa; Chordata; Mammalia; Perissodactyla; Equidae.
UUUCCUUCCAUUUUUCUAGCUGCUAAGAGUUAUCUCACUGUGAAGAAGAAGAGUUCCUGGACUCUUUAAACCAGCAUUUCCUGGACUGUGCUCAAUGGAACACCAGUUCUGAGAGAUUAUCUGUAAGAAAGGGAUUCUAGGGCCAGAGAUCUUUGGCAAGAUAGCAUACUGUAUGUGUAAAACAGCAGUUCUCAAAGUGUGCCUGGAGCAGCAUCAGCAACAUCACUUGGGAAAUGAGAAAAAUGCAGAUUCCCUGAUCCCACCUCUGACCUACAGAAUCAAAAACUCUAGAAGUGGGCCUCUGUAAGCUGUGUUUCAACCAGCCCUCCAGGAGAAAGAGAAGAGAUGAUGAACGGCCGAUUUGAGACAACUACCACUCAAAGGAUUUAUAAGAAGGAAAUGUUCUACAUUACCUCAAGAAGAACAGAACAUGAGUUCAUUACACCCAUUGCAUCUAUUAGAUAGGGCUAAACUCUCAGAUUUUGAAUGCUGUCUUUGAUAAGCAUAGCUAGCUGUACUGUUGUCAUAGCUCAAGACUCAAGUACUGAUUUAUGCCUUGACCCUAAGUAACAUUCUGAAAAUGCUACUAAAUUUGAGAUCCUGAUUUGGAAGUCAAGAAUUGUGUGAUGUAAACAUAAUUUUGAAGUCUAAAUACCAGUUAUUCUUGAAAACAAAACAAAACAAAAACACAGCUCCAAAGGCUGGCAAUUAAUCAUCAACAUCAACGUGUGUUUAUUAAGCCCUGCUUUGAGAGCUAUAAAAUAUAUAUUAGAACGUCUCUAUUUUAAGAAGCUCACAAACUUUCUGUAAUAAAGGUAAAGUUUAUUCUCUUCACGAACAGGGCUCCUUGCUAGUAUAUAUGCAUUGUUUAAAGCACAUUCUUCUAGGUUAUUUCAUUCUAUGGGGACUCUGAGUCUUUCAUUGCCUUUGAACUAUUUUACAACACUGUAAAUUGUAGAUAACCGAUAGCAGUACAAAAGAAUUCUCCUCUAUAGAUAUGCAAAUAAAUUCUGUCCAGUGGAAGUUCAAAGACUUCCCUCCUCCACUGUGGAAGCAGCCAGUUUUGUG